Molecule: ribosomal RNA, 382 nt
Filed under: uncultured bacterium
Lineage: Bacteria
Description: bacterial SSU rRNA
Rfam family: Bacterial small subunit ribosomal RNA
Source: RNAcentral
GACGAACGCUGGCGGCGUGCUUAACACAUGCAAGUCGAACGGUGAAGCCUUCGGGUGGAUCAGUGGCGAACGGGUGAGUAACACGUGAGCAAUCUGCCCUUGACUCUGGGAUAACUUCGGGAAACCGGAGCUAAUACCGGAUAUGACAUCUGGCCGCAUGGUCUGGGUGUGGAAAGAUUUAUCGGUCAAGGAUGAGCUCGCGGCCUAUCAGCUUGUUGGUGGGGAAUGGCCCACCAAGGCGACGACGGGUAGCCGGCCUGAGAGGGCGGCCGGCCACACUGGGACUGAGACACGGCCCAGACUCCUACGGGAGGCAGCAGUGGGGAAUAUUGCGCAAUGGGCGGAAGCCUGACGCAGCGACGCCGCGUGAGGGAUGAAGGCC